RNAcentral lists this ribosomal RNA (229 nucleotides) under uncultured bacterium. RNAcentral describes it as "partial 16S ribosomal RNA". It matches the Rfam family "Bacterial small subunit ribosomal RNA", at positions 568 to 796 of the family's 1533-position model. The record is from RNAcentral.
UGCGUAGGCGGGAAAGAAAGUCAGAUGUGAAAUCCCAGGGCUCAACCCUGGAACUGCAUUUGAAACUUCUUUUCUUGAGGAUAGGCGGAGAAAACGGAAUUCCACGUGUAGCGGUGAAAUGCGUAGAUAUGUGGAAGAACACCAGUGGCGAAGGCGGUUUUCUAGCUUAUUCCUGACGCUAAAGCGCGAAAGCAAGGGGAGCGAACAGGAUUAGAUACCCUGGUAGUCC